Molecule: ribosomal RNA, 369 nt
Filed under: uncultured organism
Description: bacterial SSU rRNA
Rfam family: Bacterial small subunit ribosomal RNA
Source: RNAcentral
CGUAGGGUGCAAGCGUUAAUCGGAAUUACUGGGCGUAAAGCGUGCGCAGGCGGUUUUGUAAGUCUGUCGUGAAAGCCCCGGGCUCAACCUGGGAAUUGCGAUGGAGACUGCAAGGCUUGAAUCUGGCAGAGGGGGGUAGAAUUCCACGUGUAGCAGUGAAAUGCGUAGAGAUGUGGAGGAACACCGAUGGCGAAGGCAGCCCCCUGGGUCAAGAUUGACGCUCAUGCACGAAAGCGUGGGGAGCAAACAGGAUUAGAUACCCUGGUAGUCCACGCCCUAAACGAUGUCUACUAGUUGUCGGGUUUUAAUAACUUGGUAACGCAGCUAACGCGUGAAGUAGACCGCCUGGGGAGUACGGUCGCAAGAUUA